RNAcentral lists this transfer RNA (72 nucleotides) under Camelus bactrianus (Bactrian camel). It matches the Rfam family "tRNA". Rfam says of the family: Transfer RNA (tRNA) molecules are approximately 80 nucleotides in length. Their secondary structure includes four short double-helical elements and three loops (D, anti-codon, and T loops). The record is from Rfam by way of RNAcentral. RNAcentral also lists the same sequence under 2 other names. Lineage: Eukaryota; Metazoa; Chordata; Mammalia; Artiodactyla; Camelidae.
GAGGGUAUAGCUCAGUGGUAGAGUGUGUGCUUAGCAUGCACGAGGUCCUGGGUUCAAUCCCCAGUACUUUCA